Molecule: ribosomal RNA, 600 nt
Filed under: Triticum aestivum (bread wheat)
Lineage: Eukaryota; Viridiplantae; Streptophyta; Magnoliopsida; Poales; Poaceae
Description: partial small subunit ribosomal RNA
Source: RNAcentral
AUGGCUUUCUUCGGCGGCAGCAGCAGCACCGGUGGCGGCGCCGCCGCCGACGCCCCCGGCGCAUGGCCGACGAGCAUCGGAGGGCCGGAGACGGAGGAGCUCCACCACUACUGCCUCCCCGUGCCGCCGGGCUGCCGUCUAGCGCGCAACUGGAAGAUCGACGCGGAGGGCUUUGCGACGUUCGGUCCCGGCGCGACGAAGGAGGAGCUCCGCAACCACAGCGGCGGCCGGCACAACAUCGAAGGCCGAAAGCGGUUUUGGCGCGGGAAGGACUAUUGGGAGGUGAUGGCGGCCUUCCGCCUUGCCGCGGCCGGCGAGACCCCCGAUCUGACGGGCCGCAGCGGCCGUCUUCGCGCACCGCCUCCACCGCAAUAUCGCCGCAGACGUGGCGGCGGCCACGGUGUGUACCCGGCACGGGCGCCCGCGCCGGCCGCCCCUCCCUUGCCGCCGGGGAUCGAGUUGCCGCCGGAGCAGGUCAUCCUCCGCGAGGACGGUGAUCCGGAUGACACGCCGGGGUACCACGUCGCCCUACGGGCGUCGGAGGCUGCAGCGGCGGCAGCGGAGGCGACGGAGGCCGCCGAGAUUGCGGACGCAAUCUAG